GAGUUUGAUUAUGGCUCAGGAUGAACGCUAGCGGUGCGCCUAACACAUGCAAGUCGAGCGGAGUACUUGAGAAGCUUGCUUUUUAAGUACUUAGCGGCAAACGGGUGCGUAACACGUUGAUACUUCCCCCCAAGUCAGGGAUAGCCUGGAGAAAUCCAGAUUAAUACCGGAUAGUCCCGCAAGGGUAAAGGAGCAAUCCGCUCGGGGAAAGGUCUGCGGCCUAUCAGCUAGUUGGUGAGGUAAUAGCUCACCAAGGCAAUGACGGGUAGCUGGUCUGAGAGGACGGCCAGCCACAAUGGGACUGAGACACGGCCCAUACUCCUACGGGAGGCAGCAGUGAGGAAUCUUCCACAAUGGGCGAAAGCCUGAUGGAGCGACACCGCGUGAAGGAUGAAGCCUUUGUUGGUGUAAACUUCUUUUCUCUCGGAAGAUAAUGACGUACGAGAGGAAUAAGGGCGCA
Molecule: ribosomal RNA, 460 nt
Filed under: Gracilibacteria bacterium canine oral taxon 291
Lineage: Bacteria; Candidatus Altimarinota
Description: bacterial SSU rRNA
Rfam family: Bacterial small subunit ribosomal RNA
Source: RNAcentral